UUUGUUUUUAUUUAUUGGAAUGGAGCUUAGCGUUUUGGGUGCUCUUGUUUUUAUUUAUGAGUGGUAGGAUAUAAGUCAUAAAACUAGGGAAGGAAAAGUUUUUCUAUUUCCAGGACUCUUUCUUCAGUUAGUUUAACAUAUUCAAGGUAAAGGCUUUUUAAUGAUAGCUGGUGCAAGACCAUUCAAAGUUUUAGUGUUCCUCUCUUUUCCGGUUUGUUUAAGUGUGGUUGUAAAAAGUUUUGGCAUAGCCCACACAUGGCUUGGUGAAGUUAAAUCUAUGCAAAAAUGGUUAGUGUUGAUUAAAAUUAAAAAAUGCAGUAAACUGUCUUUUAUCUUUGGUUUAUUGAAUUCACAGAUAUUGUUGAAAACUAGUCAACAUAAAGUAAUUUAUGAUUUGAGGGUUUGUAAUCUUUACACCUUUAUAUUUCUAAUGUAGAUCACCCGUCAAGAGGGACAACCAGAGGAAAUGUCUUUAAUCAUAAAUUUACUGCCAGAGAGAGUAGAAAAUUUAAAGGUGCCUAGCCAAGAGAUGGUAAGUACUGAAUUUUUGAAUUUUAUCAAGCGAUGACCUGAAUCAAUCAUGUUCACCACUUUCUAUCCACAUAUCAUUUAAGGAAUUUU
RNAcentral lists this long non-coding RNA (621 nucleotides) under Gossypium barbadense (sea-island cotton). RNAcentral's name for it is "long non-coding RNA (GBAR_LNC021099)". Lineage: Eukaryota; Viridiplantae; Streptophyta; Magnoliopsida; Malvales; Malvaceae. The record is from RNAcentral.